AUUGAACGCUGGCGGCAGGCCUAACACAUGCAAGUCGAGCGAGAGGCGGACGGGUGAGUAAGGUCUGGGAAACUGCCUGAUGGAGGGGGAUAAGUACUGGAAAAGGUAGCUAAUACAGCAUACGAUGAGAUGUGACCAGAGGGGAUUAGCUAGUAGGUGGGGUAAUGGCGCACCUAGGCGACGAUCCCUCGCGGGUCUGAGAGGAUGACCAGCCACACUGGAACUGAGACACGGUCCAGACUCCUACGGGAGGCAGCAGUGGGGAAUAUUGCACAAUGGGCGCAAGCCUGAUGCAGCCAUGCCGCGUGUGUGAAGAAGGCCUUCGGGUUGUAAAGUACUUUCAGCGGGGAGGCGUUACCCGCAGAAGAAGCACCGGCUAACUCCGUGCCAGCCGCCGCGGUAAUUC
This 406-nucleotide ribosomal RNA is filed under the name uncultured bacterium. RNAcentral describes it as "partial 16S ribosomal RNA". It matches the Rfam family "Bacterial small subunit ribosomal RNA", at positions 29 to 526 of the family's 1533-position model. The record is from RNAcentral.